Molecule: ribosomal RNA, 244 nt
Filed under: uncultured Staphylococcus sp.
Lineage: Bacteria; Bacillati; Bacillota; Bacilli; Caryophanales; Staphylococcaceae
Description: partial 16S ribosomal RNA
Rfam family: Bacterial small subunit ribosomal RNA
Source: RNAcentral
UACGUAGGUGGCAAGCGUUAUCCGGAAUUAUUGGGCGUAAAGCGCGCGUAGGCGGUUUUUUAAGUCUGAUGUGAAAGCCCACGGCUCAACCGUGGAGGGUCAUUGGAAACUGGAAAACUUGAGUGCAGAAGAGGAAAGUGGAAUUCCAUGCGUAGCGGUGAAAUGCGCAGAGAUAUGGAGGAACACCAGUGGCGAAGGCGACUUUCUGGUCUGUAACUGACGCUGAUGUGCGAAAGCGUGGGGA